CUCGCGCGGACGUCAGGGGCCCUCGAAGAAGUUCCCUGCUCCUUACCCGCCUAGUCUGGGGUCCUACCCAGAGCCCAGCGUCCUCGGCUGUCGGUAGGGCUGGAGACACCGCGGCGACACGGGGCCUUGGGGUGUCCCCUGGAGGCCAGGCCCGCUGGCGGGGACCUUAGGGCACCCCGGCCGGGGCUGCUUCCUGGGACCUCUGCUCCCCCGUGAGGUAACCGAGGCUGAGUGCCAAGGCUGGAGUUAGAGGCCCUGCCUCCUCCACGAAGUGCCAGUUUGUGGCAAGUUCUGCUUCCAACCACAAAGUUGUGGCCACAAGGUUGGAGCUCAGUGGCGCGACUGGCUCCACCCCGCCAACAUGGUGGACAUGGAAAGCCCCAUGUGUCCCCUGUCCCCCUUGGAGGCUGAGGACCUGGAUAGCCCACUGUCUGAGGACUUCCUACAAGAAAUGGGAACCAUCCAGGACAUUUCCCAGUCCCUCGGUGAGGACAGCUCCGGGAGCUUUGGUUUCACAGAAUACCAGUAUUUGGGGAGCGGCCCCGGCUCGGAUGGAUCCGUCAUCACGGACACCUUGUCACCAGCCUCGAGUCCCUGUUCUGUCAGUUACCCCUCAGUCCCUGGCAGCACAGAUGAGCCUUCCAGCGGCACCCUGAACAUCGAAUGCAGGAUCUGUGGGGACAAGGCUUCAGGCUACCAUUAUGGGGUCCACGCAUGUGAAGGCUGCAAGGGCUUCUUCCGGCGGACCAUCCGGCUGAAGCUGGUGUACGACAAAUGCGACCGCAGCUGCAAGAUUCAGAAAAAGAAUCGGAACAAGUGCCAGUACUGCCGUUUCCACAAGUGCCUCUCUGUCGGGAUGUCACACAAUGCGAUUCGAUUUGGACGGAUGCCAAGAUCCGAGAAAGCAAAACUCAAAGCAGAAAUCCUCACCUGUGAGCACGACACUGAAGACUCUGAGACUGCUGACCUCAAGUCCCUGGCCAAGAGGAUCUACGAGGCCUACCUGAAGAACUUCAACAUGAACAAGGUCAAAGCCCGCGUCAUCCUCGCAGGAAAGACCAGCAACAAUCCACCUUUUGUCAUCCACGACAUGGAGACGUUGUGUAUGGCCGAGAAGACGCUGGUGGCCAAGAUGGUGGCCAAUGGCGUUGAGAACAAGGAGGCUGAGGUCCGCUUCUUCCACUGCUGCCAGUGCAUGUCGGUGGAGACGGUCACCGAGCUCACCGAGUUCGCCAAGGCCAUCCCGGGCUUUGCCAACCUGGACUUGAAUGACCAGGUCACCCUGCUGAAGUACGGCGUGUACGAGGCCAUCUUCACGAUGCUGUCCUCGCUGAUGAACAAAGACGGGAUGCUAGUAGCAGAUGGAAAUGGCUUUAUCACCCGCGAGUUCCUCAGAAACCUGCGGAAACCGUUCUGUGACAUCAUGGAACCUAAGUUUGAUUUUGCCAUGAAGUUCAACGCUCUGGAACUGGACGACAGCGACAUCGCCCUUUUUGUGGCUGCUAUCAUUUGCUGCGGAGAUAUCAGGUGACAGAGGUCCAAGGAGUGUGACCUCCAGCAAGGAUCAUGGGCCAGCAGGGACCAGGGCACCCCAUGACCUCCCUGCCAGUGGAGUGAGAGCAUCCAGAGCUUCCCCUUGACACUCGCUGUAUCGUCCUUGGGCUGCUUCAUGUCCUCAUAGGCUGACAAGAUCAUGGCCUGAAACAAGUUGAUCAAGAGGAAGACCAUCACCAGCAGGAAGGAGGAGAGGAACAGGACCCCAAGAACCUUGUUACUGGAAAAUUUGGUAUUCUGAAAAGCUGAGACACAAUAGGAGAAUAUUGUCUGAGUGGCAUGAAUCAAGUUACUGUAGUUCCACUCAUGUUGACCGAAUACCAGGUAACCAAAGGCCAUGUACACAAAGAAGUACACAGACACCACAAUGGCCAUGUGACAGAUGCCAGGAAGGGCGGCCUGGAUGACCCUCUGGGCCAAGCGCACAUCACAGAAGAAUCUGGAAUAUCUGGGGGUCUUCAAGAUGGUCAGAAAUAACAGGAAAGCCAGGAUUAUCCUCAUAGUUUGAUCUACUUGGGAAACUGCUUGGAAAGGAAUGAAGUCAUGCGGGUUAGACAAGUAAAAUUGGAUCAUGCCAGCAGCCAAGAAAUACUUCCUGAAAAAAAGCAUGACCAGUGCAGUAAAUAUACAUUUCAAAGUGAAGUUGAGCAAGUUGUACAUGCUUUUCACAUAGGAAGCUCCCUCUUGCGUGAUGACGUAGCCCUCGUCAACAAUGUAAGCUAAAAAGAAAAUGAGAAUGGCCACAUACAGGUAGAUCUCUGCCAGCGAUUCGCUGUGGAGCUCAGUAAGUGAGAAGGAGUGGGUGGAGAUGCUGGCAUUGACAACUCCUAGCUGAGAAACCUCAAAUACAAUAGAAAUGCUGCAGAACAGACUGGCAUCUGGAUUGAAAGUGGUUAGUUCCAGAAUCACAGCCCAUGUCUUCUCAUCAAGCCAAUUGCUUUCUUGAAGUUCUCUAAGCCUCAGUGUGGAAUUAAGCUGCUGCUGUUCUGCGAAAAAAUAGAAUACAUACCCUCCGGACCCAUAGGUAUGUAACGGUCCAUAGGAAUAAUACACCCACCUCUUUCCCUGAGGUUUAUAAGUGAACCCAUCAAUAUUCCUGCUCAUAGCCUGCUUAUCAACUUCACCCCAAAACCUAGAGUAGUUUGUGGUGUCCUCUGCGUCGGUGCCAUACUUGGGAUGACAGUGAAUUUCUCCUGCCAUGCUGUCCUGCACAAAGCUUUUAGCAGGUGGACACAUUUUUCCACCAGGUUUUGCCCUCACUUGUCUCUUGAGGGGAAGCCCCAAGAUCUUGGAGGAGCUGUCGGGGAGAAAGGUCAGGUUCCGGUCAUUGUGGAGCAAAGGCAACAGCACGCGGUUGAGCCACUUGUAGAUGUCCUCCAGGUUUGUCACUGCAGGAAGGUCCCCGGAAAAGCAGUCUUGGAUGAACUGGUAGUAGUAGAAGCUGUCAGUGUGGUGCAGCAGGACAAUGAGGAGCAACAGCAGGGCCAGGAAGAUGCAAUGCAUCACGAUGUAGCUCAGGAACAAGACAGCUCUUCUCUUGACCCUCUUCCUCCUUCUGAAUAUCCUGAUUUCAUCUUCCAUGAGGGGCUGGUACAUCUUCGAGCCACGCAGGCAGGUGAGGUGCUCCUGGAGCUGCUGCCUUUCAUCUGGAUGCAUCCUCAUCCCCCACAGCUUGAUCUCAAUAGACUGAUAUUUAGUUGACCACGCCAGGUUUCUACAGUACUUGGGUUUAUUUGUCCUGAUGCCUGACCAGAGUAUAAUCUCUAAUGGCUGCACCAGAAAAACUGACUGACAAAAUGAGCAAAAAGAUGCCAAGAGCCACUCUACUGACUUGUCAUAGCUGUAAGUCAGACCAUAGAAGAUGAUAAAGACUGAGGAUACGGUACAAGUGGUGAGCACUAACAACCAUGCUACAUAAACACACCACCGAGGCAGGGUGAUCCAGGGUUGUGUCUUACAAUGUUUAGGAUCCCCUUGGGAAGAGGGUUCUCCAGAAGGGACAUCUGGAAUGUCUUUCGUGUUUCUGUUACUGACAUUUGUAUUGGUCUCUGCUGUCUCAGCGGUCACCUGGAGAGAAGCCUUUGGUUGUCCGGACAAAACCUUCACAGUGGGUUUUGAGGCUUCCCUGCUGCACCCCUUGUCAGCUUCACAUACUUCCCACUUGCACAAGCGCUCCUCCCAGCCCUCACUGCCUGCCAAAGUCAGAGGAUGCUUUUGAGGAACCACCUCAUCUAGCUCUACUUGGGAUUUUUUCUGGGAGUGGGUGAAGAAAAAAGUAAUUAACAUUGGCACCGGGAUUGUGAUUAAGACACUUUGAAUUCCUAUCGUCAUUAAUCUGAUGUAGCGCCCCUCUCUUGAGGCAGCCUUCUCUUGACUGUUCAGAUUAAAGAACAGAGUAUUACAAAGAAGACAGCUUAGCAGUGUUGCUAAGCAACAGGACAAUCUUUGGAGCCUACUGAAUGGUUUGGCAACAAAAUCAGCAAAAACCGAAAACCACAUGCGGUGUGUCCUCAGCUUAUAGGUCAGGUCUAUCAGGAAGAAGUCCAUUCUUCUCACAGGCUCCUCUGGAUAUGUAACAUGAAACAUUCUCUCCAAAGUGGUGUCAACAGAAAGCCACUUUCGGCACAUGAACAGCCAAAUGUGCCUGCUAAACAGAUUCUCCACCUUGAUUCGACUCAGAUACCAAUUAGGUGCUUUGCCCUCGUUGUUGUGCCACACUCGAAUGGAAUGGAUGUCCCCUAAGUCACUUUUUGUUGUCAGAAGUAAAGCGCUGAUGCUUCCUCGGAAGAGAGUUCUAAAGUGCAAGUGGCUUACGCAAUGCACAUCGCUGGUGCUCUCUGUGCCCCUAAGCUGGACAACGACACUGGCCCUGGUUCCAGCCCCACAACAACUUCCUGUAAAGAUAGUGACCAGGUAGCACGUGUUAUCAUAAGGAUCAUUGUUAGGCAGGACCACCACAUAGUCCCAAAGAAAUUGGUCCAUCUCAUUCCUAUGCAAGGCCCAGAAAGCUAGAAUUGUGUAGAUGACCAUGAUGAAAAGCACAGUGAGGAGAGUCACAGGGUUGUACUGACAGUCCUGGGUGACGUUCAACUGUAGAUCCACAGAAUUAGGGAUUGUGAUCACCUUGCCCAUCACGUAGCGUGUACGCAGGGGAACAUGGGUUGGAGUCCUCAGCUGCCGCCGUGCCCUUGUCAUGUACCUGCAGGUACAGUGUACUUUGUUCCAGGUGGUCUUUUCACCCAGCGUGCAGGCAUCUUCUCUCCACUGGCCCCGGAUCCUGUGCAUGUCCAGGCAGCUGGCACCAAAGACAGAAAUUCUCACUAGCUUGUGGCUGGGCUCCAGGACAAAGUGUGGGGCCUGCAGAACCACAGAUAUGUCGCACUUGGGCGAGCGGCUGUGCCGAGUCAUAACCUGCAGCAGGGACGGGGGCAGGCAGACCACUCUAGCCACCCUGACUCUACAGGCUGGGUCAAACAGGACACUCUGGAUGACAACUGGAGGCAUGUCGUGAGGCACCAGGAAGGUGGCCACCAGAUGGGUGGGGGCGACAUGACGGCCCACAUACACCAACACCUUCAACAGCCCAGUCACUUCUGUCACGAUGUGGACCAGCACCUCCCUAACACCUCUGCUGUCCACUUCAAAGCUAAACGCCCCUGCCAUCGUCCCCGAGGACCCUGUGGCCUCACUGUCAGGUCCCACAGUGAGAUUAAAAGUCGCAGAGGUCAAGUUUUUUCUGGUGAGGUACACUUCCACUGUGUCCGGUAUCACCUCUAUCAUGCUCCCUUUACCUG
RNA transcript from Fukomys damarensis (Damara mole-rat), 5348 nucleotides. It is a transcript of the gene named peroxisome proliferator activated receptor alpha, with no coding region annotated. The transcript has 9 exons. Lineage: Eukaryota; Metazoa; Chordata; Mammalia; Rodentia; Bathyergidae. The record is from RefSeq and is a predicted model, not a curated record.